CUGGAAUCGCUAGUAAUCGCGUAUCAGAACGAUGCGGUGAAUACGUUCCCGGGCCUUGUACACACCGCCCGUCACAUCACGAAAGUGGUUUGUACUAG
RNAcentral lists this ribosomal RNA (98 nucleotides) under uncultured bacterium. RNAcentral's name for it is "partial 16S ribosomal RNA". It matches the Rfam family "Bacterial small subunit ribosomal RNA", at positions 1326 to 1423 of the family's 1533-position model. The record is from RNAcentral.